AUUUAUUCUGUGGGAGACAAGAA
RNAcentral lists this non-coding RNA (23 nucleotides) under Cricetulus griseus (Chinese hamster). Lineage: Eukaryota; Metazoa; Chordata; Mammalia; Rodentia; Cricetidae. The record is from RNAcentral.